CGUAUUUCUUCUCCUUAGUACGACAGGACCACGAUAAAAGUGCCCAUACCCACAUGUCCACACUCUAAUUAAAAAC
RNAcentral lists this ribosomal RNA (76 nucleotides) under Parechinus angulosus (angulate urchin). RNAcentral's name for it is "partial 16S ribosomal RNA". The record is from RNAcentral. Lineage: Eukaryota; Metazoa; Echinodermata; Echinoidea; Camarodonta; Echinidae.